UGGAUGAUGGAGGAAACGAGGAGUGGACGGAGAUGCGAUAUGAUAGCGAUGAUUCAGGGUACGAAUCAGGGAACACGAGGUCGCUGAGUACGUUAUCGCUAGGAUCAUUGCUAUCAAUAGGAUCCCCGUGGCUUUCCACAUCAACGGAGGAAUCCUUUGGAAGAAAUGAAAGAGGUAGAAAUCAAUGGAUAAUAGCACAAAUUCGACUGCUUGUCGUAAUUACAUGCAGGAGAAGGUGUAAUAACUUCAAUGAACGGGUGUAUGACGGCAUUCAUUACCUGGAUAUAUGAUAAGUAAAGUCGUCAGAUGACUAAGAAUAAUUCCCUUGGAAAACCAAGGACGAACAGAGAUGCCCGACGCAUGUUUGAGUACAAUUCCAAACGCGCGGAUGCCGAUCCAGAGGUUUCAUGGAAUAACCUCGCCGAGAUCGAAGAACGUGGAACCGCAGCGAUGUCCAAUCCCGGUCAUCCACGCCCCCAACGUCAAGAAAGACAAAAACAGCGCUCACAAUCAUGGAGAGAAAAGAAGACGCCCCCAACUCCAGCAGAACAGGCAACGGCGCUUAAAGAGCAAACACUAGUCGCAAGGACUGAAGUUAGUGAACCAGUCGGACUAAUGUAUAACGUCGGCCCUAUUUCCGGAAGCUUCAGAGGACGUUCAGACACAUGCAAGCAGUAGAUGAUAGAUUGGCGAAGAAACUGCCAUAUUCCGCCUUUCUACAUGGAUGUACAACUGCUUUGGCUGCAAAUAUAAUAGAUAUGCAGCAGAAUGAGAACAAGGAGGGUGGUCUUCGAGCUGAAGGAGACGUUGGCGCAUAUUUAGACCAGAUGGUACUUCCUGGUCCCAUACGCGAAUACCUCUCGAACAUAGGAAAGACCAUAACUAGUUCAGGAGAGAUGGUCUCAACAAAUAUUCCCGCUAUAGCCAUACCAAGAGCGGAAGAAAAUGAGACAAGCGGCAGCUUCGGUACUUUGGACGCAAAUACCCAUAAUGUAUACGAAUGCUAUGUCGCCCCACGCGUCACUCGAAGACGAGUUGAAGCCACAUUAGCAAAUGACGCUAACUGGACACCAGUACCCGCUGAUUUACUUCCUGCCAAUUUUGCGGCAAAUCAGAACUUUUUAGGGUUUGGUGAUAUAGACCAGUUAAAUCCAGAUGGUCGGAGUGCAUUGCAGGGGGUUCAAUUCCCACCUGAUGCCAUUAACAUGGGCAUUGAAAGCAGAAUCCAGUUUAGUCCGCAGAUAACUGGGCUAAUUAAUAAAGUACUGGAAGCAAUGGAGUCCAAGUAUAAGAUUGGACCUGCGCGCGUAAGGCGUAAAAUUACCGCUGGAUUUGUUGGUUUCCUUGUAGGAAGGAAUGCAUCGUAGUGAUCAUAAAGGAGGGGAUGAUUUUAUUAUUUUUAACAAACUUGUAAUUUGUCGUGGACGUUUGAGAUUUUCAGGCACAUAAGAGGAGAGAGAGAAAUUUUAAACUGACAGGACACUUGAAGUGAUUUGUUUUUAAAAUAGAAAGAACGAAGCGAACGGACACAAGAACCACAGGGUGGAAUGUCUGGACUAUAUCGAGGGAAGAUAAAGGGAAAGCAAAACGAUGUAUGGCAUGAAUAGACGCUUUUGCCUGAAGGAAAUAGUACAGUCGGAGGAAAAACAAGCGGAAGGAGGAUUGUAAUCAGGGAGACUGGAUGGUAAACAGGACUAGGACCAAUUGGUACGGCUUGAUUAAGAGAUACGAGUCGUAAAUGCAGCAGGAAUUAAUAAAUCCUUGACGAUACAGAUGAGCUAGGAGACCUUGACGAUUGGGGCAAUAAGUAUAGAAUGCUCCGGAUACGGUGUAUAAUUAUGGGAAGGAAGGAGUUCGUAGGACCAGAGCAAGAUGUGUAGAUCGAGGAGGGUAGGAUUGAACUUUGAUGGAAUCCGUGCAGAGAUGUCGAUGAAGCUGCUGGACGAAGGAGAGGAAGGUACAACGCCGAUCGCCAGGUAUAUCGUUGAUUUCCGAUGAUACUCGUUCCUGCAGGGUAAGUGAUCUCUUCUGUUAAUAAACGGUCGAAGCGGGAAUGAUAUGCUUAGGAAUUGAUCGAGGGGGAGGGGAAUAGGAAUUUUAACUCGAUUCAAGGAAUCGAAGGGAACGAAUUUUAUUUUCCUGUAUCUUUUCGUGCCCUCUUUGUUUGUACACGAGAAUUUGUCCAUUGGUUUGUGACCUUCGUGACAUGAGGAAGGUUUCGUGCCUUUUCUUGAUGUCUUCCUGAUUUUGGUUUAAAUGUUUGUUGAAUUAUUGAUCUGGUUGAAGACCGUGGUUUCGAUAACAUGAGUUCAGUGUUAUCGUGCUAACGAUCUGUGAAGGGAAGCAGAUAGGAUGCACGAAUUUAUGUUCAAUUGGUUUUUUAUUCACGGUCUCAUUUUUACUGGUACUGCGGUGUUGAUCCAGACUGAUUAUUAUUGUUGCUGGUUUGUCCUCGGGUCUUAUAGAUCUCAUUCUGAUUUAUUCCGAAAGGAUGUGGUAAUCAGCCUUGCUGACAAGUGUAUAGUUGACAGUAUUAAUUAAAUACUCUUGUGAGAUUGAUUAUACAAUUGUAUAUUGAUACUUUUUGUGGAUAAUAGGGGAUUUUUUUUUAUGGUGUAUGGAUUAUAAAUGUUUAUGGGUUGUUGGAUUCAGGCGUUUUGUGUUGAAGCUAUUUUAAUUUUAUUUUGUUUUGUCUGUGAACUUUACACAUGUGGUUUUCAUUUUGAAUGCAUAUUUGGGCUGUAAUAUUUGGCGGAGGUUCAUCGCUGUGUUUGGAGUACGAUUGACUCCUUUUUUAAUUUCUCUCUUGAUCGCGAUCUGGAUGCUCGUUGGAUGCUGUCUUGGUCGAGUAAGUGGUAAUACCGAUAACAAUUCAGACGAAUUCAAUGUUAUCGUGCUAACUAUUUCUGUGGAAUUGAGUACAGGAACGGGGAUAACACGAUUAAUGAAUUAACUUUCUUCUAAUAAACAUGAGUUUAUACUCAGAUGUGGAGACGCAUUAUUUAUGAUGGUUGACUUGUCGUGGUGUUACUGUUUUUUUUAAUUUUACCCUGCCGGCCCUGGAAGAGGAUGCAAAUGAAAGUAUUCUUGAUGGGCUGGCAAGGUGUACGACGGAUUUCGUCGAUAUGAUUAUUUUCAUGGUAAUCUUUGAUACAUUCAGAACAGUGUAUGUGUCACAU
Long non-coding RNA from Ceratina calcarata, 3179 nucleotides. RefSeq lists it as uncharacterized. The transcript has 5 exons. The record is from RefSeq and is a predicted model, not a curated record. Lineage: Eukaryota; Metazoa; Arthropoda; Insecta; Hymenoptera; Apidae.